Boleophthalmus pectinirostris (great blue-spotted mudskipper) is the source of this 408-nucleotide long non-coding RNA. RefSeq lists it as uncharacterized. NCBI's taxonomy places the organism in Eukaryota, Metazoa, Chordata, Actinopteri, Gobiiformes, Gobiidae. The transcript has 3 exons. The record is from RefSeq and is a predicted model, not a curated record.
AGAAUAUUAAAGCUGAAGAAACAGCCCGCUCAGAGUUUAUCUCGCUCAGGCAGUGCUUUGCUUGUCUCGUUGGUUGUAUCUAGCCUGAUUCAUCAGCCAAUUUCACCUCGUGGAAAACAUCUGACCUCACAGCAUUAGGAUUUGUUCACUCAACGCUUUAAAUCCUCGAUCUUGGGAAUCGUUGUCAACACAGAAUGUCUGGUCUCGUCUACAUCCAUCUCGACCACUUUGUUUACUGUUGUGCUGUACCACAAAAGGAAUCCAGACAGGCGCUUGAGUUUGACGUCAUGGCUUCACAGAUCUUCGCUGAUUGGCCGAUGAGCAGUCUACAACUUCCAGGGUUCUUGCAAACCGUCUAGUGUAUUUGUGACCUAGUCACUGCAGAGAAAUUAAAUUGAGUGGAGGCAC